RNAcentral lists this transfer RNA (68 nucleotides) under Hydropsyche angustipennis. RNAcentral describes it as "tRNA-Asp". The record is from RNAcentral. Lineage: Eukaryota; Metazoa; Arthropoda; Insecta; Trichoptera; Hydropsychidae.
AAAAAGUUAGUUAAAAAUAUAACCUAAAUUUGUCAAAUUUAAAUUAUAAUUAUAAAUUAUACUUUUUA